This 468-nucleotide ribosomal RNA is filed under the name uncultured bacterium. Its description in RNAcentral is "partial 16S ribosomal RNA". It matches the Rfam family "Bacterial small subunit ribosomal RNA", at positions 28 to 507 of the family's 1533-position model. The record is from RNAcentral.
GACGAACGCUGGCGGCGUGCUUAACACAUGCAAGUCGAACGGAAAGGCCCUGCUUUUGUGGGGUGCUCGAGUGGCGAACGGGUGAGUAACACGUGAGUAACCUGCCCUUGACUUUGGGAUAACUUCAGGAAACUGGGGCUAAUACCGGAUAGGAGCUCCUGCUGCAUGGUGGGGGUUGGAAAGUUUCGGCGGUUGGGGAUGGACUCGCGGCUUAUCAGCUUGUUGGUGGGGUAGUGGCUUACCAAGGCUUUGACGGGUAGCCGGCCCGAGAGGGUGACCGGCCACAUUGGGACUGGGAUACGGCCCAGACUCCUACGGGAGGCAGCAGUGGGGAAUAUUGCACAAUGGGCGGAAGCCUGAUGCAGCAACGCCGCGUGCGGGAUGACGGCCUUCGGGUUGUAAACCGCUUUCGCCUGUGACGAAGCGUGAGUGACGGUAAUGGGUAAAGAAGCACCGGCUAACUACGUG